UUUGCUGACGAGUGGCGGACGGGUGAGUAAUGCUUGGGAAUCUGGCUUAUGGAGGGGGAUAACUACUGGAAACGGUAGCUAAUACCGCGUAAUGUCUACGGACUAAAGGGGGCGAAAGCUCUUGCCAUAAGAUGAGCCCAAGUGGGAUUAGGUAGUUGGUGAGGUAACGGCUCACCAAGCCGUCGAUCUCUAGCUGGUCUGAGAGGAUGACCAGCCACACUGGAACUGAGACACGGUCCAGACUCCUACGGGAGGCAGCAGUGGGGAAUAUUGCACAAUGGGGGAAACCCUGAUGCAGCCAUGCCGCGUGAAUGAAGAAGGCCUUCGGGUUGUAAAGUUCUUUCGGUGAUGAGGAAGGUGUGAUGGUUAAUACCCAUGACAAUUGACGUUAGUCACAGAAGAAGCACCGGCUAACUCCGUGCCAGCAGCCGCGGUAAUACGGAGGGUGCAAGCGUUAAUCGGAAUAACUGGGCGUAAAGGGCACGCAGGCGGUUGUUUAAGUGAGGUGUGAAAGCCCUGGGCUCAACCUGGGAAUUGCAUUUCANACUGGACAACUAGAGUACUUUAGGGAGGGGUAGAAUUCCACGUGUAGCGGUGAAAUGCGUAGAGAUGUGGAGGAAUACCGAAGGCGAAGGCAGCCCCU
RNAcentral lists this ribosomal RNA (643 nucleotides) under Muribacter muris. RNAcentral's name for it is "bacterial SSU rRNA". It matches the Rfam family "Bacterial small subunit ribosomal RNA", at positions 84 to 729 of the family's 1533-position model. The record is from RNAcentral. Lineage: Bacteria; Pseudomonadati; Pseudomonadota; Gammaproteobacteria; Pasteurellales; Pasteurellaceae.